RNAcentral lists this ribosomal RNA (700 nucleotides) under uncultured bacterium. RNAcentral describes it as "bacterial SSU rRNA". It matches the Rfam family "Bacterial small subunit ribosomal RNA", at positions 94 to 824 of the family's 1533-position model. The record is from RNAcentral.
AGUGGCGGACGGGUGAGUAACACGUAAGAAUUUGCCUUUAGGAGGGGAACAACAACUAGAAAUGGUUGCUAAUACCCCAUAUGCUUUCGAGUGAAAUGGAUUUUUCCGCCUAGAGAGAAGCUUGCGGCUGAUUAGCUUGUUGGUGAGGUAAUGGCUCACCAAGGCGACGAUCAGUAUCUGGUUUGAGAGGACGAUCAGACACACUGGAACUGAGACACGGUCCAGACUCCUACGGGAGGCAGCAGUGGGGAAUUUUCCGCAAUGGGCGAAAGCCUGACGGAGCAAUACCGCGUGAGGGAUGACGGCCUAUGGGUUGUAAACCUCUUUUUUCAGGGAGGAAUCAAUGACGUGUACCUGAAGAAUAAGCAUCGGCUAACUCCGUGCCAGCAGCCGCGGUAAGACGGGGGAUGCAAGUGUUAUCCGGAAUCACUGGGCGUAAAGCGUCUGUAGGUGGUCCAAUAAGUCAACUGUUAAAUCUUGAGGCUCAACCUCAAAAUCGCAGUCGAAACUAUUAGACUAGAGUAUAGUAGGGGUAAAGGGAAUUUCCAGUGGAGCGGUGAAAUGCGUAGAGAUUGGAAAGAACACCGAUGGCGAAGGCACUUUACUGGGCUAUUACUAACACUCAGAGACGAAAGCUAGGGUAGCAAAUGGGAUUAGAUACCCCAGUAGUCCUAGCCGUAAACAAUGGAUACUAGAUGUU